Uranotaenia lowii is the source of this 1094-nucleotide long non-coding RNA. RefSeq lists it as uncharacterized. The transcript has 3 exons. The record is from RefSeq and is a predicted model, not a curated record. Lineage: Eukaryota; Metazoa; Arthropoda; Insecta; Diptera; Culicidae.
UCAAAACAAAACAGAAAAAAAACUAUCGUGCCAGCAGCUGAUCGGAUGUUUCUUUGAAUUUGUAAACGCUCGGAAAUCAGUCAAUGCAAAAACCCUUGCGUAAGUAGUUGACCAUCAAAACGAUCAGGAAAAGUGCUCCGUUAUCGACCGAGAACCAUCACUACCAGAAGUCUAGGGAACUGCUUGUCCGUAGUCUGCCGUUCCAGCCUUUGGUUCUUCUAUUCAAAAGUUCUGCUGUGUUAGAUUCUCAGGAAUAUGGACAGAAAACCUGCUGUCUAAAGAAGGACCAAAAAGGGAGUUUAACUGCCAGGGUCAUUCUUCCCUACACCCUGUUACUGAUGAGCAUAAAAUCCUCCUACUAAUCCAGCACUCCUCCUACUAAUGCUGUUACAGGUGAACCAACCAGCUGCACUCGGUCUUAAACCUACUAACCUAAACUAACCAACAUCUAAGAUGCGGUUCAUAUUCAGCCGGCGUGCGGUUAUAGCGAUGGGUUCCGUCAAUAACCUCUCUUGGCAAGAACAUACCGGAACCUAACGGAUAUCUUAAGUGUUUGCAGGUCUGGCAAACGCAAGUAUUCCAGAUCCUGCAGCAUUUUUUCAAAUCGAAACAUCAUGGAGUCAGAUUUUAUGAAGGUUAUGAUUGCCAAAAUUAGACUAAUUCAUAAGAUGCAUAAUUGCAUGAGAUGCAUGGCGAUGGAAGUAUUUUUACGCAGAAGAAAGAAUGAGAAAGACCGAAAAAUAUAGAGAAAGAAAACAGUGAAGAAGAUAAGAGCUGGAAACGACUCAUUCAACAACUGCAUCUACAACUACAUCUGGGGGCAAGUGAAUUAAGCGUUGAGCUGAAAGUAGUAUUGUAGACGUAAAUCAUUCAUAACUGUAAAAAACCACAGUGUAGCAAUGUGGUGCGUGCUACAUAUCUUCCGGGAAAUGUUAAAUCGUGUUAGCUUAAAGAUAUAUCGUAUAGAUUAAUUAUAUUUGUAAUUCGUAGCAAAUCCUUUUUCGAACGUAAAAUUGUUUGUAAUAUGAAAUGAUGGAAUCUCGAUUUAUUGCUAUUCUUAUUUUGUGCUUUUGUGCAGGUAGUCGUGGCAUUCG